Molecule: ribosomal RNA, 239 nt
Filed under: uncultured Lactobacillus sp.
Lineage: Bacteria; Bacillati; Bacillota; Bacilli; Lactobacillales; Lactobacillaceae
Description: partial 16S ribosomal RNA
Rfam family: Bacterial small subunit ribosomal RNA
Source: RNAcentral
UAACCUGCCCAAGAGAUCGGGAUAACACCUGGAAACAGAUGCUAAUACCGGAUAACAACAGAUGAUGCCUAUCAACUGUUUAAAAGAUGGUUCUGCUAUCACUCUUGGAUGGACCUGCGGUGCAUUAGCUAGUUGGUAGGGUAACGGCCUACCAAGGCGAUGAUGCAUAGCCGAGUUGAGAGACUGAUCGGCCACAUUGGGACUGAGACACGGCCCAAACUCCUACGGGAGGCGCAGCU